RNAcentral lists this ribosomal RNA (399 nucleotides) under Amphifilaceae sp. RNAcentral's name for it is "partial small subunit ribosomal RNA". It matches the Rfam family "Eukaryotic small subunit ribosomal RNA", at positions 587 to 975 of the family's 1831-position model. The record is from RNAcentral. Lineage: Eukaryota; Bigyra; Amphifilida; Amphifilaceae.
AGCUCCAAUAGGAUAUAUCAAAGUUGUUGCAGUUGAAAAGCUCGUAGUCGUAUUUCUGGUGGGUUGAUGCUUUCGCUCUCCGAUGAAAGUCGGUGUUGACGAGGGCCGCCCGCCAUUUUGUGGGAUCAAGUGGCUAGGUUUCGGUUCACUCUGUGACCUAGUCGCUCCACUCCGUCACUGAGAGUAAAUUGGAGUGCUCAAAGCAGGCUUUAUAGCUUUGAACAUCUUAGCUUGGAAUGACAAAGUACGACUUUUUGUUUACUUUGUUGGUUAUGAACGAGAAGUAAUGAUAAAUAGGAACAGUUGCGGGGGUACUCGUAUUGGGAAGUCAGAGGUGAAAUUCUUGGAUUUUUCCACGACGAACGACUGCGAAAGCAUUUACCAAGGAUGUUUUCAUUG